RNAcentral lists this ribosomal RNA (253 nucleotides) under uncultured bacterium. RNAcentral's name for it is "partial 16S ribosomal RNA". It matches the Rfam family "Bacterial small subunit ribosomal RNA", at positions 524 to 776 of the family's 1533-position model. The record is from RNAcentral.
UACGUAGGGUGCGAGCGUUGUCCGGAAUUAUUGGGCGUAAAGGGCUCGUGGGCGGUCUGUUGCGUCGGGAGUGAAAACUCAGGGCUUAACCCUGAGCCUGCUUCCGAUACGGGCAGACUAGAGGUAUGCAGGGGAGAACGGAAUUCCUGGUGUAGCGGUGAAAUGCGCAGAUAUCAGGAGGAACACCGGUGGCGAAGGCGGUUCUCUGGGCAUUACCUGACGCUGAGGAGCGAAAGUGUGGGGAGCGAACAGG